Molecule: ribosomal RNA, 490 nt
Filed under: uncultured bacterium
Lineage: Bacteria
Description: bacterial SSU rRNA
Rfam family: Bacterial small subunit ribosomal RNA
Source: RNAcentral
UCGCUAUGGGAUGGCCCCGCGGUGCAUUAGCUAGUUGGUAAGGUAACGGCUUACCAAGGCAAUGAUGCAUAGCCGAGUUGAGAGACUGAUCGGCCACAUUGGGACUGAGACACGGCCCAAACUCCUACGGGAGGCAGCAGUAGGGAAUCUUCCACAAUGGACGCAAGUCUGAUGGAGCAACGCCGCGUGAGUGAAGAAGGUUCUCGGAUCGUAAAGCUCUGUUGUUGGUGAAGAAGGAUAGAGGUAGUAACUGGCCUUUAUUUGACGGUAAUCAACCAGAAAGUCACGGCUAACUACGUGCCAGCAGCCGCGGUAAUACGUAGGUGGCAAGCGUUGUCCGGAUUUAUUGGGCGUAAAGCGAGCGCAGGCGGAAGAAUAAGUCUGAUGUGAAAGCCCUCGGCUUAACCGAGGAACUGCAUCGGAAACUGUUUUUCUUGAGUGCAGAAGAGGAGAGUGGAACUCCAUGUGUAGCGGUGGAAUGCGUAGAUAU